AAGGCGGCGGACUACACAUGCAGUCGAGCGGAACGAUGGAAGCUUGCUUCCAGGCGUCGAGCGGCGGACGGGUGAGUAAUGCAUAGGAAUCUGCCCGGUAGUGGGGGAUAACCUGGGGAAACCCAGGCUAAUACCGCAUACGUCCUACGGGAGAAAGCAGGGGAUCUUCGGACCUUGCGCUAUCGGAUGAGCCUAUGUCGGAUUAGCUAGUUGGUGAGGUAAUGGCUCACCAAGGCUGCGAUCCGUAGCUGGUCUGAGAGGAUGAUCAGCCACAUCGGGACUGAGACACGGCCCGAACUCCUACGGGAGGCAGCAGUGGGGAAUAUUGGACAAUGGGCGAAAGCCUGAUCCAGCCAUGCCGCGUGUGUGAAGAAGGCUUUCGGGUUGUAAAGCACUUUCAGUGGGGAAGAAAUCCUCGGGGCCAAUACCCUCGAGGGAGGACAUCACCCACAGAAGAAGCACCGGCUAACUCCGUGCCAGCAGCCGCGGUAAUACGGAGGGUGCGAGCGUUAAUCGGAAUUACUGGGCGUAAAGCGCGCGUAGGCGGCGUGAUAAGCCGGUUGUGAAAGCCCCGGGCUCAACCUGGGAACGGCAUCCGGAACUGUCAGGCUAGAGUGCAGGAGAGGAAGGUAGAAUUCCCGGUGUAGCGGUGAAAUGCGUAGAGAUCGGGAGGAAUACCAGUGGCGAAGGCGGCCUUCUGGACUGACACUGACGCUGAGGUGCGAAAGCGUGGGUAGCAAACAGGAUUAGAUACCCUGGUAGUCCACGCCGUAAACGAUGUCGACUAGCCGUUGGGGUCC
Molecule: ribosomal RNA, 800 nt
Filed under: Halomonas sp. JSM 101023
Lineage: Bacteria; Pseudomonadati; Pseudomonadota; Gammaproteobacteria; Oceanospirillales; Halomonadaceae
Description: bacterial SSU rRNA
Rfam family: Bacterial small subunit ribosomal RNA
Source: RNAcentral